Molecule: long non-coding RNA, 441 nt
Organism: Labrus mixtus (cuckoo wrasse)
Lineage: Eukaryota; Metazoa; Chordata; Actinopteri; Labriformes; Labridae
Exons: 2
Source: RefSeq, a predicted model, not a curated record
GUUUCAGCAGACCUGCAGUUUUCUGGGAGUUUGUUCCAGAUAUAAGGAGCAUAGAAACUGAACGCUGCUUCUCCAUGUUUGGUUCUGACUCUGGGAACAGAGAGCAGACCUGUCCCAGACGACCUGAGCGGUCUGGAUGGUUCGUAGUUAAUCAGGAGGUUAAACAGAAGAGGCCCCAGGAUGGAACCUUGGGGAACUCCACAAGUAAUUUUUGUUUGCUCAGAUUUGAAGUUACCUAUAGACACGAAGAAGUCCCUGUCCUUUAAGUAGGAUUCAAAACAGUUUAGUACUGUGCCAGAAACUCCCACCAAGUUUUCCAGUCGGUCGAGUAAUAUAUUGUGGUCAACUGUGUCGAACGCAGCACUGAGAUCAAGUAAAACUAAGACUGAGGUUCUGCCACUGUCUGUGUUUAAACGGAUGUCAUUAAACUCUUUAACCAGA